UUUUUGAAGGGUUUGAUCUUGGCUCAGAACGAACGCUGGCGGCGUGGAUUAGGCAUGCAAGUCGAACGAGGAUAUAUCCUUCGGGAUAUAAGCCGAGUGGCACAAGGGUGAGCAAUGCAUAGAUUACCUACCUUUAGGAUAAGGGCAACUUUGUGAAAACGGAGCUAAUACUUAAUAAUACAAAAGAAAAUAAUUUUCUUUUGUCAAAGGGAGGGUAGCAAUACCUUUCGCCUAGAGAGGGGUUUAUGUCCUAUCAGCUUGUUGGUGGGGUAAUAGCCUACCAAGGCGAAGACGGGUAGCCGGUUUAAGAGGAUGGUCGGCCACACUGGGACUGAGACACUGCCCAGACUUCUACGGAAGGCUGCAGUCGAGAAUCUUUCGCAAUGCCCGAAAGGGUGACGAAGCGACGCCGCGUGGGUGAAGAAGGCCUUCGGGUUGUAAAGCCCUGUCAGGAGUUAUGAAAUGUAAGUGCGCUAAUAUCGUGCUUAUUUGACAAAGGCUCCAAAGGAAGCCACGGCUAACUCUGUGCCAGCAGCCGCGGUAAUACAGAGGUGGCGAGCGUUGUUCGGAAUUAUUGGGCGUAAAGAGCACGUAGGUGGGUUUGCAAGUCAGAUGUGAAAGCCUUCUGUUCAACGGAAGAAUUGCAUCUGAAACUGCUAAUCUUGAGUAUAGGAGGGGAGAAUGGAACUUCUGGUGGAGCGGUGAAAUGCGUAGAUAUCAGAAGGAACGCCGGCGGCGAAAGCGAUUCUCUGGCCUAUUACUGACACUCAGUGUGCGAAAGCUAGGGGAGCAAACGGGAUUAGAUACCCCGGUAGUCCUAGCCGUAAACGAUGGGCACUAAGUAGAGGGAAUUACCUAUAUUCUCUCUGCCGUAGCUAACGCAUUAAGUGCCCCGCCUGGGGAGUACGGCCGCAAGGCUAAAACUCAAAAGAAUUGACGGGGGCUCGCACAAGCGGUGGAGCAUGUGGCUUAAUUCGAUGCAACGCGAAAAACCUUACCGGGGCUUGACAUGAUAGAAGUAGGAACCUGAAAGGGGGACGAACGGUAUCCAGUCCGUAGCUAUUACAGGUGUUGCAUGGCUGUCGUCAGCUCGUGUCGUGAGACGUUGGGUUAAGUCCCCUAACGAGCGAAACCCUUGUUUUUAGUUACCAGCGGGUUAUGCCGGGUACUCUAGAAAGACUGCCGUCGUCAAGACGGAGGAAGGUGGGGAUGACGUCAAGUCAUCAUGGCCCUUAUGCCCCGGGCUGCACACGUGCUACAAUGGUCGGUACAGACGGAAGCGAAGCCGAGAGGUGAAGCGAAUCCUAAAAAGCCGAUCUCAGUUCGGAUUGGAGGCUGAAAUUCGCCUCCAUGAAGUUGGAAUCGCUAGUAAUCGCGUAUCAGCUACGACGCGGUGAAUGUGUUCCUGAGCCUUGUACACACCGCCCGUCAAGUCAUGGAAGCCGGUAGCGCCCGAAGUCGCCCUGCUUCAGGGGUGCCGAAGGUGAAUUUGGUAAUUGGGAUGAAGUCGUAACAAGGUAGCCGUAGGGGAACCUGCGGCUGGAUCACCUCCUUU
This 1555-nucleotide ribosomal RNA is filed under the name Fidelibacterota bacterium. RNAcentral's name for it is "bacterial SSU rRNA". It matches the Rfam family "Bacterial small subunit ribosomal RNA". The record is from RNAcentral. Lineage: Bacteria; Pseudomonadati; Fidelibacterota.